AUUGAACGCUGGCGGCAGGCCUAACACAUGCAAUUCUAACGGUAACAGUAAGAAGCUUUCUUCUUUGCUGUCGAGUGGCGGACGGGUGAUUACUGUCUGGGAAACUUCCUGAUGGAGGUGGAUAACUACUGGAAACGGUAGCUAAUACCGCAUAACGUCGCAAGACCAUACAGGGGGACCUUCGGGCCUCUUGCCAUCUUAUGUUCCCAGAUGGGUUUAGCUAGUAGGUGGGGUAACGGCUUACCUAGGCGACGGUCCCUAGCUGGUCUGUAAGGAUGACCAGCCGCACUGGAACGGAGACACGGUCAAGACUCCUACGGGAGGCAGCAGUAGGGAAUAUUGCACAAUGGGCGAAAGCCUGAUGCAGCCAAGCCGCGUGCAUGAAGAAGGCCUUAGGGUUGUAAAGUACUUUCAGCGGGGAGGAAGGGAGUAAAGUUAAUACCUGUGCUCAUUGACGUUACCCGCAGAAGAAGCACCGGCUAACUCCGUG
This 490-nucleotide ribosomal RNA is filed under the name uncultured bacterium. RNAcentral describes it as "partial 16S ribosomal RNA". It matches the Rfam family "Bacterial small subunit ribosomal RNA", at positions 30 to 507 of the family's 1533-position model. The record is from RNAcentral.